UUUUUUUUUAAAGUGUUGAGACAGUUUUACCAAAUUGCCCAGACUGGGCUCCAAUUUGGUAUCCUCCUGCCUCCGCCCCCCUAACUAGCUGGGUUACCCGCUUUGAGGUUCAGAUUUUCAUCUUUGUUUCUCUUGUGGACUGAGGGAGUCUGGUACCUGUUACUGAGGACGAUUCAGAUGAAAGAGCUUUGGGAUUAGGUGUGAUAAUGUGUAAGCGUAAAUGUUGAGACUACGUAUAGAGUUGUAUUUCGGUGAAACUUACAUUUGCGGAGCACUGUUUGAGAAGGGUAAGAGUGUACGAGUGCGUGGAGCAGGUUUGAGAGCCACGUGAAAGGUAGGAAGGGAUCCAGCCUCCCGCUAGGGGAGGCAGCCUCUGUUUCCACACGAACCGGAAUAACCUGUUGCGAGACCUCAAACUCCUGCGGUUACAGGUCGGCGUCCCAGCCGCGCGCACAGGAAUCCGCCGGCGGUAGUCGCGCGCCCAGCCCUUGACAGGAGGGCAAUCACGUGGCAGCCGGAAAGCGCAGCUUUGCGACCUCGAUGACAGGCAAAAUGUGCGACAGCCCUGGCGCUGGCCAACCAGGGGCGGAGGCAGCAGCUAGGGAGGAAGCGGAGGAGGCGGAGGCGGCCGCGGGGUUCGCCCGUCUGCUCGUUCACCGGCUUUCCCCGCCCCUGCCGCUCUCGCUGCCGCUGAAAGGAGCUGGGGGCGCGCUGUCGCAACCUGCCCUCGGCUUGGCUGGCGGCAGUUGAGACCCGACCUGCCUGUACAUCAGCCUUCCUGUCCGGGCGGCGCGGCGUGGGCUCGCGGGCGCCUGAAGGUUACCGAGUGCAUGACUGCCUAGCGCCUCUCGCGCUGUCCCGCCCGCCGGGUCGUCCGCCCGCCAGUCCGCCGGCUUCCCCGCAAGCUCCUCGGCACCCGGCGGCGGCGGCGGCCGCCACGGCGACAACGGCCGCAGGAGGCGCCGUCUCCCGCCCAGGUGCACGUUUAGCUCCCGGCGCCUCGGAACUCGGCCGCCGCCAUGGCGUCCAACAUGGACCGCGAGAUCAUCCUGGCGGAUUUUCAGCCAUAUUACAUUUGUCAUCUGACACCAAGAUUUGGCCAAGGAAAUGCAAAUGCAAGAUUCUGUGAUCAUGGAAAGGUAUGUAUCUCCAGUUUGCAACAGUUGUAUACGUUUUUGAAAAUGCCCUAGAUUGUACUGUUAUUGGAUUC
RNAcentral lists this long non-coding RNA (1210 nucleotides) under Cavia porcellus (domestic guinea pig). RNAcentral describes it as "lncRNA (ENSCPOG00000037969.1)". The record is from RNAcentral. Lineage: Eukaryota; Metazoa; Chordata; Mammalia; Rodentia; Caviidae.